UCAAUAAGCGGAGGAAAAGAAACUAACAAGGAUUCCCCUAGUAACGGCGAGUGAAGUGGGAAAAGCUCAACUUUGUAAUCUGGCAGCUUCGCUGUCCGAGUUGUAGUCUCGAGAAGUGUUUUCCGCGCUGGAUCGUGUAUGAGUCUGUUGGAAUACAGCGUCAUAGAGGGUGAGAACCCCGUUCGUGACACGACUACCAGUGCUUUGUGAUACAUUUUCGAUGAGUCGAGUUGUUUGGGAAUGCAGCUCAAAUUGGGUGGUAAAUUCCAUCUAAAGCUAAAUAUUGGCGAGAGACCGAUAGCAAACAAGUACCGUGAGGGAAAGAUGAAAAGCACUUUGGAAAGAGAGUUAACAGUACGUGAAAUUGUUGAAAGGGAAACGUUUGAAGUCAGACGUGCGUUGUGCGAUUCAGCUCCGGUUCGCCGGAGUGUAUUUCGUACUAUUGCAGGCCAGCAUCGGUUUGGCGAGCCGGAUAAAGGUUAGAGAAAGGUAGCGGUCCAGGCCGUGUUAUAGUCUUUAACUGAAUACGGAUUGCUAGACCGAGGGACGCAGCGCGCCGCAAGGCAAAGCUUUCGGGCUUUUCGCGCUUAGGAUGCUGGUGAAAUGGCUUUAAAUGACCCGUCUUGAAACACGGACCAAGGAGUCUAACAUGCUUGCGAGUGUUUGGGUGUCAAACCCAUACGCGUAAUGAAAGUGAAUGGAGGUGGGAUCCUUUACCGGAGCACCAUCGACCGAUCCGGAUUUUUAAUGAUGGAUUUGAGUAAGAGCACGUAUGUUGGGACCCGAAAGAUGGUGAACUAUGCCUGAAUAGGGUGAAGCCAGAGGAAACUCUGGUGGAGGCUCGUAGCGG
RNAcentral lists this ribosomal RNA (850 nucleotides) under Symmetrospora marina. RNAcentral describes it as "LSU rRNA". It matches the Rfam family "Eukaryotic large subunit ribosomal RNA", at positions 43 to 883 of the family's 3401-position model. The record is from RNAcentral. Lineage: Eukaryota; Fungi; Basidiomycota; Cystobasidiomycetes; Symmetrosporaceae.